ACGACGCUGGCGGCGUGCCUAAUACAUGCAAGUCGAACGGUCUUUUCUAUGGAAGCUUGCUUCCGCUGAGAAGAUAGUGGCGAACGGGUGAGUAACACGUGGGUAACCUGCCCAUAAGAGGGGGAUAACAUCCGGAAACGGGUGCUAAUACCGCAUAGUUUUCUUGAUCGCAUGAUUGAGAAAGGAAAGACGGCCUUUGUGCUGUCGCUUAUGGAUGGACCCGCGGCGUAUUAGUUAGUUGGUGAGGUAACGGCUCACCAAGACGAUGAUACGUAGCCGACCUGAGAGGGUGAUCGGCCACAUUGGGACUGAGACACGGCCCAAACUCCUACGGGAGGCAGCAGUAGGGAAUCUUCCGCAAUGGACGAAAGUCUGACGGAGCAACGCCGCGUGAGUGAAGAAGGUUUUCGGAUCGUAAAACUCUGUUGUCAGAGAAGAACAAGUUGGAGAGUAACUGCUCCAGCCUUGACGGUAUCUGACCAGAAAGCCACGGCUAACUACGUG
This 504-nucleotide ribosomal RNA is filed under the name uncultured bacterium. RNAcentral describes it as "bacterial SSU rRNA". It matches the Rfam family "Bacterial small subunit ribosomal RNA", at positions 32 to 507 of the family's 1533-position model. The record is from RNAcentral.